UCUAGAAUAGCUUAAAUUUUAAAGCCCUGACUUUGUAACUCAGAGAUAAGUCUAACCUUUUCUAGAU
RNAcentral lists this transfer RNA (67 nucleotides) under Phyllidiopsis krempfi. Its description in RNAcentral is "tRNA-Thr". It matches the Rfam family "tRNA". Rfam says of the family: Transfer RNA (tRNA) molecules are approximately 80 nucleotides in length. Their secondary structure includes four short double-helical elements and three loops (D, anti-codon, and T loops). Lineage: Eukaryota; Metazoa; Mollusca; Gastropoda; Nudibranchia; Phyllidiidae. The record is from RNAcentral.